RNAcentral lists this ribosomal RNA (497 nucleotides) under uncultured bacterium. Its description in RNAcentral is "partial 16S ribosomal RNA". It matches the Rfam family "Bacterial small subunit ribosomal RNA", at positions 28 to 507 of the family's 1533-position model. The record is from RNAcentral.
GACGAACGCUGGCGGCGUGCCUAAUACAUGCAAGUUGAGCGAUGAAGAUUGGUGCUUGCACCAAUUUGAAGAGCAGCGAACGGGUGAGUAACGCGUGGGGAAUCUGCCUUUGAGCGGGGGACAACAUUUGGAAACGAAUGCUAAUACCGCAUAACAACUUUAAACAUAAGUUUUAAGUUUGAAAGAUGCAAUUGCAUCACUCAAAGAUGAUCCCGCGUUGUAUUAGCUAGUUGGUGAGGUAAAGGCUCACCAAGGCGAUGAUACAUAGCCGACCUGAGAGGGUGAUCGGCCACAUUGGGACUGAGACACGGCCCAAACUCCUACGGGAGGCAGCAGUAGGGAAUCUUCGGCAAGGGACGAAAGGCUGACCGAGCAACGCCGCGUGAGUGAAGAAGGUUUUCGGAUCGUAAAACUCUGUUGGUAGAGAAGAACGUUGGUGAGAGUGGAAAGCUCAUCAAGUGACGGUAACUACACAGAAAGGGACGGCUAACUACGUG